RNAcentral lists this long non-coding RNA (1407 nucleotides) under Chloebia gouldiae (Gouldian finch). RNAcentral's name for it is "Erythrura gouldiae (Gouldian finch) lncRNA (ENSEGOG00005008697.1)". Lineage: Eukaryota; Metazoa; Chordata; Aves; Passeriformes; Passeridae. The record is from RNAcentral.
AGAGGAAGCCCCAUAUGGACUGGAACUUCCUGGCCCUCUCUGCAGCCUCUUGCCCUCUCAUUGAUGCACUGACCAUAGGAGAUGAAGGUUACAUCGUUUUACCUGGCUACAGUGCUAAAAGCAAAGCAUCAUUAAAAUGGGAAAACUCAGCCAUGCAAAUGAGACAGAGAAAUUGCUGCCAACCAAGGCAGAGGAACUUUUCCAAGUCUGAACCCUAUCAGGCAGCAAGUUAGUAACUGUUUUGUGGAUUCAUUUGAUGAGCUGAUAAAUAUGAUAAGAGGGCACCUGAGGUGUUACACAAAUCAGGAGAAACUGAGAAUCUGUGUUUCUCAGAAGUCAGAGGCAGGAAUUUUUGUCUAGAAGAAGAAUUGUGACCUACUUAGAGGAAUCUGACUUAAGCCCCAAAUAAUGUUCUUGCUCAAGCAUGAAUUACAAGCAGCUGAAGAAAGAUGAGCUUUUGCACUUGUGCUGUAGCCAAGUUUGCCCACAUCUAAUGAGCAGAAGUACAAUUCGGUGCCAUUUUGUAUUCCCAGGAUGUGGUGCAGAUGGAGAAGCUGCUCUGAAUGUGGGUCCAGAAGCCGUUCACCCACUCCUCCAGGCACUCCACACAUCCUGCUUCAUGCCUCUCCUUGCAGAGCCUGGAGGUGGAAAGCAUCAGGUUCAAGAGCAGAGGGAGCAGCAGUAGCUGUGAGAAGCAGCCUUACAAACUGGAACCAGAGCUGGCAGCAGUGCUGGAGCACUGGGCAUGGAUUGGGCUGGAGAAAAACAAUUGACAGUUCUAUGCUCAGAAGCCUGGAGAGUGAGAAAGCUGCAGUCACCCGUGGAGGGAGGGGAAAUGCUAAGCUGCCCCACAUAAACUCAGCGGGCUGUUUAAAGAAGAUGCACAUGUCUGAGUGCUCUCCCUGCUGCCAUUCCUUUCUGCAUUUUGCCUCGACACCGUGGCACGGAUCAGCCGUGCCUCCAGGAGCCGCUGCCCAGCGUGGGCAGGACGGGAACGGGAGAGGGGCUGAGUGGGGGCACGGCGGCUGUGAGCGCACCUCAGCGAGGGGCUGGCACCAUCAAAUAUGCAUAGGCCCUUCUGCAGCAAACAAAUCUAUUUAAUUGAAAGGAAUCGGGAGGUGAAAAAUGAAACUUGGCAGUUCAGCUUCGCUCCACCAUUUGGUGGUUGUUGUGGGACUCCAGCAAAGGGAGCUAUCACUGCGGGCAUAAUUUACUUGAUUUUAAGGAUCCAUAUGAAUUCUGGCGACAUACCAAGUAGCCAUUAGCUAUGAGGAGUGUUUCCCGAUGCUCAUUUGUUUUCCAUGUGUGAAUUUUCACUCUUCCAAACUUUCUUUAGAAAAAAAAGUAGUUUUUCUUCAUCAAUUCCGUGUGGAAAAUAAAACAAAAAUACAGAUAAUAAAUUAUUCA